This 253-nucleotide ribosomal RNA is filed under the name uncultured bacterium. RNAcentral's name for it is "partial 16S ribosomal RNA". It matches the Rfam family "Bacterial small subunit ribosomal RNA", at positions 524 to 776 of the family's 1533-position model. The record is from RNAcentral.
UACGAAGGGGGCUAGCGUUGCUCGGAAUCACUGGGCGUAAAGCGCACGUAGGCGGCUUCUUAAGUCAGGGGUGAAAUCCUGGAGCUCAACUCCAGAACUGCCUUAGAUACUGAGAAGCUUGAGUCCGGGAGAGGUGAGUGGAACUGCGAGUGUAGAGGUGAAAUUCGUAGAUAUUCGCAAGAACACCAGUGGCGAAGGCGGCUCACUGGCCCGGUACUGACGCUGAGGUGCGAAAGCGUGGGGAGCAAACAGG